CCUACGGGUGGCAGCAGUGAGGAAUAUUGGUCAAUGGCCGGAAGGCUGAACCAGCCAUGCCGCGUGAAGGUCAGUGCCCUUUGGGCGUUAAACUUCUUUUGUGCGGGAGCAAUAAUGGUCACGUGUGGCCAGACGAGAGUACCGUACGAAUAAGCAUUGGCUAUCUCCGUGCCAGCAGCCGCGGGAAUAAGGGUGAUGCAAGCGUUAUCCGGAUUUAUUGGGUUUUAAGGGUGAGUAGGCUGUGAGGUAAGUCAGCGGUGAAAUGCCCCCGCUCAACGGGGUGAAGUGCCAUUGAUACUGCCUUGCUGGAAUGUGGAUGCCGUGGGAGGAAUGUGUGGUGUAGCGGUGAAAUGCAUAGAUAUCACACAGAACACCGAUUGCGAAGGCAGCUCACGAAUCCGCGAUUGACGCUGAUGCACGAAAGCGUGGGUAUCAAACAGGAUUAGAUACCCCUGUAGUC
This 460-nucleotide ribosomal RNA is filed under the name uncultured bacterium. RNAcentral's name for it is "partial 16S ribosomal RNA". It matches the Rfam family "Bacterial small subunit ribosomal RNA", at positions 338 to 795 of the family's 1533-position model. The record is from RNAcentral.